This 724-nucleotide ribosomal RNA is filed under the name Bacillus tropicus. Its description in RNAcentral is "bacterial SSU rRNA". It matches the Rfam family "Bacterial small subunit ribosomal RNA", at positions 75 to 782 of the family's 1533-position model. Lineage: Bacteria; Bacillati; Bacillota; Bacilli; Caryophanales; Bacillaceae. The record is from RNAcentral.
AGAGCUUGCUCUUAUGAAGUUAGCGGCGGACGGGUGAGUAACACGUGGGUAACCUGCCCAUAAGACUGGGAUAACUCCGGGAAACCGGGGCUAAUACCGGAUAACAUUUUGAACCGCAUGGUUCGAAAUUGAAAGGCGGCUUCGGCUGUCACUUAUGGAUGGACCCGCGUCGCAUUAGCUAGUUGGUGAGGUAACGGCUCACCAAGGCAACGAUGCGUAGCCGACCUGAGAGGGUGAUCGGCCACACUGGGACUGAGACACGGCCCAGACUCCUACGGGAGGCAGCAGUAGGGAAUCUUCCGCAAUGGACGAAAGUCUGACGGAGCAACGCCGCGUGAGUGAUGAAGGCUUUCGGGUCGUAAAACUCUGUUGUUAGGGAAGAACAAGUGCUAGUUGAAUAAGCUGGCACCUUGACGGUACCUAACCAGAAAGCCACGGCUAACUACGUGCCAGCAGCCGCGGUAAUACGUAGGUGGCAAGCGUUAUCCGGAAUUAUUGGGCGUAAAGCGCGCGCAGGUGGUUUCUUAAGUCUGAUGUGAAAGCCCACGGCUCAACCGUGGAGGGUCAUUGGAAACUGGGAGACUUGAGUGCAGAAGAGGAAAGUGGAAUUCCAUGUGUAGCGGUGAAAUGCGUAGAGAUAUGGAGGAACACCAGUGGCGAAGGCGACUUUCUGGUCUGUAACUGACACUGAGGCGCGAAAGCGUGGGGAGCAAACAGGAUUAGA